CGGAGGAUUGGACUACUUGGG
This 21-nucleotide non-coding RNA is filed under the name Arabidopsis thaliana (thale cress). The record is from RNAcentral. Lineage: Eukaryota; Viridiplantae; Streptophyta; Magnoliopsida; Brassicales; Brassicaceae.